Molecule: ribosomal RNA, 333 nt
Filed under: uncultured bacterium
Lineage: Bacteria
Description: partial 16S ribosomal RNA
Rfam family: Bacterial small subunit ribosomal RNA
Source: RNAcentral
CCUACGGGAGGCAGCAGUGAGGAAUAUUGGUCAAUGGCCGGAAGGCUGAACCAGCCAAGCCGCGUGAAGGACGAAGGUGCCAAGCAUUGUAAACUUCUUGUGUCAAGGGACAAAAUCAGGCGCGAGAGCCUGACCGAGGGGACUGGAAGAAAAAGCAUCGGCUAACUCCGGGCCAGCAGCCGCGGUCAUACGGAGGAUGCGAGCUUUAGCCGGAUUUAUUGGGUUUAAAGGGUGCGUAGGCGGGCCGUUAAGGCAGCGGGAAAAGCCCGGGGCGCACCCCCGGCGAGCCGUUGAAACUGGCUGUCUUGAGCUUUCGCGAGGUAUGCGUAUUGC